GUGAGGAAUAUUGGACAAUGGGCGAAAGCCUGAUCCAGCCAUGCCGCGUGCAGGAAGACGGCCCUCUGGGUUGUAAACUGCUUUUAUACGGGAAUAAACCCCUCGACGUGUCGAGGGCUGAAGGUACCGUACGAAUAAGCACCGGCUAACUCCGUGCCAGCAGCCGCGGUAAUACGGAGGGUGCAAGCGUUAUCCGGAUUUAUUGGGUUUAAAGGGUCCGUAGGCGGAAAAUUAAGUCAGUGGUGAAAUCCUGCAGCUCAACUGUAGAAUUGCCAUUGAAACUGAUUUUCUUGAAUAUGUACGAAGUGGGCGGAAUAUGACAUGUAGCGGUGAAAUGCUUAGAUAUGUCAUAGAACACCGAUUGCGAAGGCAGCUCACUAGUCCAUUAUUGACGCUGAGGGACGAAAGCGUGGGGAGCGAACAGGAUUAGAAACCCUAGUAGUCC
Molecule: ribosomal RNA, 445 nt
Filed under: uncultured bacterium
Lineage: Bacteria
Description: bacterial SSU rRNA
Rfam family: Bacterial small subunit ribosomal RNA
Source: RNAcentral